RNAcentral lists this ribosomal RNA (2012 nucleotides) under human gut metagenome. RNAcentral's name for it is "bacterial LSU rRNA". It matches the Rfam family "Bacterial large subunit ribosomal RNA", at positions 1 to 1969 of the family's 2925-position model. The record is from RNAcentral.
UCUAGGGCGCACGGCGGAUGCCUUGGCACAUGGAGCCGAUGAAGGACGCGGCAAGCUGCGAUAAUCCGCGGUUAGGGGCACACACCCUUCGACCCGCGGGUCUCCGAAUGGGCGAACCCGCCAGGAGAAGUCCUGGCACCCUCCCGGUGAACACAUAGCCGGGAGGGGGACAACCCGGGGAACUGAAACAUCUAAGUACCCGGAGGAGAAGAAAUCAACCUCGAGAUUCCCCGAGUAGCGGCGAGCGAAAGGGGACCUAGGCCAAACCGUGGAGCGGGCGGGCGCCAGCCUUUACCGCCCACGGGGUUGUAGGGCCUCCCGCCCGGGAGCUGGCGCUCCCGGCGGGCAUCCAUCCAGGGGAGCCGAACGGCAUGGGAAGGCCGGCGGCACAGGGUUAGGGCCCCGUAGGCGCACCCUGGGAUGGAGCCCGGUGGAGGUACCUGAGUAGGGCCGGGCACGUGAAACCCGGUCCGAACCCGGGGGGACCACCCUCCAAGCCUGAAUACUCCCAUGUGACCGAUAGCGCACCAGUACCGUGAGGGAAAGGUGAAAAGCACCCCGGGAGGGGAGUGAAACAGUACCUGAAACCGUGCGCCCGCAAGGCGUCGGAGCGGGCUUCGUCCCGUGACGGCGUGCCUUUUGUAGAAUGAGCCAGCGAGUUGCUGGCACGCGGCGAGGUUAAGCUGGGAAGCGAGCCGGAGCGAAAGCGAGUCCGAAACGGGCGAUCCAGUCGCGUGCCGCAGACGCGAAGCCGGGUGAGCUAUCCCUGGGCAGGCUGAAGCGGGGGUAAGACCCCGUGGAGGGCCGAACGGACGUACGUUGAAAAGUGCGCCGAUGACCUGGGGAUAGGGGUGAAAGGCCUAUCAAACCCGGAGAUAUCUCGUUCUCCCCGAAAUAGCUUUAGGGCUAGCGUCGAGAGUUAACCGCCGGAGGUAGAGCACCGGAUCGAUGAGGGGGCUUCGCCGCCUACCGAUUCGAACCGAACUCCGAAUGCCGGUCGGUCCAUAUCUCGGCAGUCAGAGCAUGUGGGCUAAGCUGUGUGCUCGAGAGGGAAACAGCCCAGACCGCCCGCUAAGGCCCCCAAUUCUCAGUUAAGUGGCAAAGGAUGUGCGUCCGCGCAGACAACCAGGAGGUUGGCUUAGAAGCAGCCACCCCUUCAAAGAGUGCGUAACAGCUCACUGGUCGAGUGGACAUGCGCCGACAAUACACGGGGCUAAACUGAGAGCCGAAGCGGCGGCAAUGAUCUUUCAUUGGGUAGGGGAGCGUCCCCAGCGGGGCGAAGCCGGAGGGUCACCGACGGUGGACUGCUGGGGAGUGAGAAUGCUGGCAUGAGUAGCGAGAGACGAGAGAGUAACUCGUCCGCCGUAAACCCGAGGUUUCCUGGGCGAGGCUAAUCCUCCCAGGGUCAGUCGGGGGCUAAGCCGAGGGCGGAAGCCGUAGGCGACGCGCAGCAGGUGGACAUUCCUGCACCGGAGAUGCACCGUCACGACCGACGGGGCGACGGAUUGGGGUGGCUCGGCGGGGUUCUGGACGUCCCCGUGAUGGAGCGCGGCCCGUGGACCAGGCAAAUCCGGUCCACGCGAGGGCGAGGCUCCGGACGAAGCGACUGAGCGAAGCGAGUGAGCCCGUGGUCCCCAGAAAAACCCCUAGGCAGGGGCAUCUCCGCCCGUACCGCAAACCGACACAGGUGGGUGGGUAGAACAUACCGAGGCGAUCGGGUCAACCAUGGUCAAGGAACUCGGCAAAAUGGCCCCGUAACUUCGGGAGAAGGGGCGCCGGCGCGUACGUGGACCCACUUGCUGGGCGAGCGGAGGCCGGCCGCAGUGAAGAGGCCCAAUCGACUGUUUACCAAAAACACAGGACUCUGCAGAAGGCGAGAGCCGACGUAUAGGGUCUGACGCCUGCCCGGUGCCGGAAGGUCACGCGGAGGGGUUAGCGCGAGCGAAGCCCCGAAGCCAAGCCCCGGUAAACGGCGGCCGUAACUAUAACGGUCCUAAGGUAGCGAAAUUCCU